RNAcentral lists this unclassified non-coding RNA (288 nucleotides) under Sordariales sp. Its description in RNAcentral is "partial contains 5.8S ribosomal RNA, internal transcribed spacer 2, and large subunit ribosomal RNA". The record is from RNAcentral. Lineage: Eukaryota; Fungi; Ascomycota; Sordariomycetes; Sordariales.
CGCACAUUGCGCCCGCCAGUAUUCUGACGGGCAUGCCUGUCCGAGCGUCAUUUCAAACCUCAAGCUCUUUAUGGCUUGGCUUUGGGGCUUCUGCUUGACCUGUCUUGUGUCUUGCAGGCUCCGAAAGUGCACGGCAGACCUGUUUGGCCCCUGAGCGUAGUAAUAUCUCUCGCUUCUGGGACCAAUCAGAACUCUCGCCUUAACCGCGAAUGUACGGCAUCCGUGUCUACAGGCGCUUACACUUAUACGUUUGACCUCGGAUCAGGUAGGAAUACCCGCUGAACUUAA